AAGUCGUAACAAGGUUUCCGUAGGUGAACCUGCGGAAGGAUCAUUAACACGUAUCCAACGUUAAAACCCCCCCGUGAACCUUCAGUGUGCUCGUACGCUUUGUUAGAAAGUAGCAAUCCCUGGUAAAUCAUCGCCGAACAGUUUUGAUCAGGCAAGUGGCCUGGCAUCCUUGUCUGAGGGUGGCAGUCACGAUCGCUAGAGGCCAACACGUCACCGGGCUCACGCCCCUUAAUAACCUUUGCAUGAAAACGGGCCUGCGCUUAAUUGUGCGGCCAUAAACCGAACAACUGUUAACAAUGGAUAUCUUGGUUCUC
RNAcentral lists this unclassified non-coding RNA (314 nucleotides) under fungal sp. Its description in RNAcentral is "partial internal transcribed spacer region". The stretch from base 1 to 46 matches the Rfam family "Eukaryotic small subunit ribosomal RNA", at positions 1786 to 1831 of the family's 1831-position model. Lineage: Eukaryota; Fungi. The record is from RNAcentral.